Non-coding RNA from Pelobates cultripes (western spadefoot toad), 201 nucleotides. Lineage: Eukaryota; Metazoa; Chordata; Amphibia; Anura; Pelobatidae. The record is from the annotation of a GenBank genome assembly.
AAACAGAGCCCGCACGGGAUGAAGCAGAGGAGGGAGUCAGAGUGGGAAUCACUCCAUCAACCUGAGCCACCACUGGACCCCAGGGAAAGUCACCCUCCUGCACCUAAAAGGUAGGAAACAGGAGGGUGUCUUAAACAUUUUUUAUGGGUGUGUGUGUAUGUCUGUAUGGAUGUGUGCCUGUCUGUUUGUAUGUAUGUAUGU